GCGGUCGUGGCGGAAUUGGCAGACGCACUAGCUUGAGGUGCUAGCGGGAGCAAUCUCGUGGAGGUUCAAGUCCUCUCGACCGCACCA
Molecule: transfer RNA, 87 nt
Filed under: Paludibaculum fermentans
Lineage: Bacteria; Pseudomonadati; Acidobacteriota; Terriglobia; Bryobacterales; Bryobacteraceae
Also listed under: 6 other names
Description: tRNA-Leu
Rfam family: tRNA
About the family: Transfer RNA (tRNA) molecules are approximately 80 nucleotides in length.
Source: RNAcentral